ACCUAUUCAUGUUAGUGUAGGUUUGGGAGUUCAAUAUUGAGGUUCUACGACAGAUGUCACAGAUGGCAUCAUUGUCUACCAUGGAGGCAAAGUCAGAGUGCUCCAGGGUGGUGUGGAUAGUGAGGAUGGAAUUAGAGGCUCAGUUACAGCUCUAGAAACCUGAGGGGCUGAAUAAAUGGGGACUUCCAGCUUGGACUUCUUGUCGUAAUCAACAGGGAGAUAUUCCAUCAGCCAGAAGAUCAACCUGGAACCAGUUCUCCCUCCCCAGCUGUGGAAAACCAAGAAGCCCCGAAGACCUAUGCACCAAUCAGCCAGUUUCUGAAUUUGGCCCAAGACAAGGAGGCAUCCAGUGGACUUGAGCCAAAUUUCCUUGAGGCUGACCAACACCAUUUUACCACCCCAUGCUGAUCACAAGCCUCCUGAAGACAAUGCCUGUUGGAAGUGGGACAGCCACUAUUAUUUAGGUCUGCAUGGUGUUUGAAAAGCAAAGGAAAGAGAAGGUAGAGGAUUUCCUUCCAUGGAGGCAGCAUGGCAUUGAAAGUGUGGCAAUUAGAGCUAUAGAGAACCACUGUUUCUUCUGCUCUAUACUAGCUCUGUGGUGUUAGACAAGUAACCUGAAAUCCUCAAGUCUUUAAAAAGGGCUAAGAUUAAUGCCCAUUUUUCAAGGUUGUUGUAUAGAUUGUAAUGUAAUAUUGAAAGAUAACUAUUGAAGCCAAUGAAUACAUGGUGUUUAUUGUAAUAUUCUCUCUGCUUUUGUGUAUGUUUGAGCAUUUUCAGAAUAAAAAUAUUUUUAUAAGAGGGAAUAUAUAUAAA
RNAcentral lists this long non-coding RNA (813 nucleotides) under Vulpes vulpes (red fox). Its description in RNAcentral is "lncRNA (ENSVVUG00000000033.1)". Lineage: Eukaryota; Metazoa; Chordata; Mammalia; Carnivora; Canidae. The record is from RNAcentral.